CGAUAGGGAGCUAAUAUGGCGUGGGCCUUAGGUAAGCUUGCUUUUCCGUUGUUUUUGGGUUUAUUUUAAAUUAUGUUUUCUGUGUGUUGGGGUUUGUGUUUUCUAUAUGGAUAUAGUAUACCAUUGCGAAUAGACAUGUGUACAUACAUACAUACAUGCACAGAACAGUUGAUCUUUCUCAGUUCCCAAGUUCCUCCGUCCACUUUCACUCUAUCUCUCCGCUGUAUCCCAGUCCCAUGUAGAUAUAUACAUAUGCAUACAUUACGUUAGAAAUAUCAAGUCAGUCCAUUCUUCACAACAAGCCACCCUUCCCCCUCCUCGUCAACCGGCCAAAUAACAGGGAUGGCCCUUCUCUUCUUCACCUUUGCCUUUCUCCUCUUCUUCUUAACAGCCCCAUUUCUACUUGUUGCUACGUUCCUUUCACCCCUAACAAGACACCUAUCCCUUUUUCCCGUUUCAGCUAACCCUUCCCCUUCCGCUUUCCCUUUGCCUUGUUCUCCUAAUCCCUCGCUCAGACUAUCUACAAACUGCCUAACAACUUCCCACUUCCACCCCCGCCUCUCCAACUCCUCUCCCAAACUACCCUUAACACUCCCAUCCUCCAUCGCCCCCCAAAAAGUUGAUAUGACUCUCUUCUCUUCACCCCGUGGACAUCGCGAUAACACCACCCAACAGCGUUCCAUAUACGAUUCAAGAGUUUCGCCAGGCCCUUGUUGCGGAGCCUGGACUUCAUCUUCUUCUGCCUUUUCUAUACCCGCGUAUUCGAAUUUUCCUGAGGGUUGAGCUAUGGGGGAGCGGGGGAGUUGUGGUGGAGAGGUCUGGAAUUCGCAGUGGGCGGCAGCGGUUUGGUCGGGAUGUGGUGGUGGGGAUGCGGGUGGCAUGGAGUCUGGGACGAGGAUGGCAGAGUAGCCAUCCUGUGGUGCUUGUGGCGGGAGGGAGCUGCGGGUUAGUAUUGAGCUAGGGAGGUGGGUCAUUGUGGGCGUGCCAGAGAUUGUGGAUGGGAUGUUGUGUCUCUGGCGCUGUUGGCUGUGCGGAGCAUGAAGGAUGGGGGGU
RNAcentral lists this small RNA (1053 nucleotides) under Histoplasma capsulatum. RNAcentral describes it as "hypothetical RNA". The record is from RNAcentral. RNAcentral also lists the same sequence under 1 other name. Lineage: Eukaryota; Fungi; Ascomycota; Eurotiomycetes; Onygenales; Ajellomycetaceae.